CCUGGCCCGGGGCGACAUCAUUCCCUCUCGCGGUCCCCGGGGCACAUGGGUUUUCACGUCUUUGUCCUGUGCCGGCCUCCACUUCCCCCACAGAUAUGCACACUCUUUCCAGAUGCCUCGUUCAUACUCCGGAGCUGGUCUGGGCCCAGGACAGGAAUGUGGGUGAAACCCAGUGGCUUCAAAACACCUGAGCACUCGCUGCUGCCCCCUCUCCCCCAAAAGACACAACUCUGCCUUCUCGACCAAUGUUGCACCAUCAUCCAAACGAGAGAACAAGUGGUUGCUGCAGACCUGAAGUGAACCAAAUAAAGAUUCCUGCUCCUUGCAGCUCAGAACCCUCCAUGUGGGACAUGUGUUUUCUAACUGUUUGCACCUCUUCGUAAAGACCACAGCCUUUUGUGUGAAAACCAGACUGCACACCCGGGGUAUCCCAGCGGAUCCCACCGAGACCACCGCUCUGGGUCUGAGAGUGUCCAGAAGCCGAUUAAGCAGCGGGACAGCUCAGCACGGGGGAGUGCUCCUGCUCACC
Molecule: long non-coding RNA, 529 nt
Organism: Prionailurus viverrinus (fishing cat)
Lineage: Eukaryota; Metazoa; Chordata; Mammalia; Carnivora; Felidae
Exons: 3
Source: RefSeq, a predicted model, not a curated record